GAUGAACGCUGGCGGCGUGCUUAACACAUGCAAGUCGAACGGAAAGGCCGAAGCUUGCUUCGGUACUCGAGUGGCGAACGGGUGAGUAACACGUGGGUGAUCUGCCCUGUACUUCGGGAUAAGCUUGGGAAACUGGGUCUAAUACCGGAUAUGACAAUCUCUUGGAUGGGGUUGUGGAAAGCUUUUGCGGUAUGGGAUGAGCUCGCGGCCUAUCAGCUUGUUGGUGGGGUAAUGGCCUACCAAGGCGUCGACGGGUAGCCGGCCUGAGAGGGGGUACGGCCACAUUGGGACUGAGAUACGGCCCAGACUCCUACGGGAGGCAGCAGUGGGGAAUAUUGCACAAUGGGCGCAAGCCUGAUGCAGCGACGCCGCGUGGGGGAUGACGGCCUUCGGGUUGUAAACUCCUUUCGCAACCGACGAAGCUUUUGUGACGGUAGGUUGAGAAGAAGCACCGGCUAACUACGUG
This 466-nucleotide ribosomal RNA is filed under the name uncultured bacterium. RNAcentral's name for it is "partial 16S ribosomal RNA". It matches the Rfam family "Bacterial small subunit ribosomal RNA", at positions 28 to 507 of the family's 1533-position model. The record is from RNAcentral.